RNAcentral lists this ribosomal RNA (253 nucleotides) under uncultured bacterium. Its description in RNAcentral is "partial 16S ribosomal RNA". It matches the Rfam family "Bacterial small subunit ribosomal RNA", at positions 524 to 776 of the family's 1533-position model. The record is from RNAcentral.
UACGGGGGGAGCAAGCGUUGUUCGGAUUCACUGGGCGUAAAGGGUGCGCAGGUGGCUGUGUAAGUUUGAUGUGAAAUCUCCGGGCUCAACCCGGAAAUGGCAUUGAAUACUACAUGGCUGGAGGUUUGGAGGGGGACUGGAAUUCUCGGUGUAGCAGUGAAAUGCGUAGAUAUCGAGAGGAACACCUGCGGCGAAGGCGGGUGCUGGGCUGAGUACUGACGCUGAGGCGACGAAAGCUAGGGGAGCGAACGGG